RNAcentral lists this ribosomal RNA (476 nucleotides) under uncultured soil bacterium. RNAcentral's name for it is "bacterial SSU rRNA". It matches the Rfam family "Bacterial small subunit ribosomal RNA", at positions 26 to 503 of the family's 1533-position model. The record is from RNAcentral.
AGAUUGAACGCUGGCGGCAUGCCUAACACAUGCAAGUCGAACGGGAGUAGCAAUACUCUAGUGGCGGACGGGUGAGGAAUACGUAGGAAUUUGCCCUUAAGUGGGGGAUAACCCGGGGAAACCCGGAUUAAUACCGCAUGACCUCGAAAGAGCAAAGUGGAGGAUCGCAAGACCUCACGCUUUUGGAGAAGCCUACGUCGGAUUAGCUAGUUGGUGAGGUAAUGGCUCACCAAGGCGACGAUCCGUAACUGGUCUGAGAGGAUGAUCAGUCACACCGGAACUGAGACACGGUCCGGACUCCUACGGGAGGCAGCAGUGGGGAAUAUUGGACAAUGGGCGCAAGGCCUGAUCCAGCAAUGCCGCGUGUGUGAAGAAGGCCUUGGGUUGUAAAGCUACUUUAAGGUUGGAAAGAAAAACUCGACGUACUAACACGAGUGAGUCGUUGACGGUACGACAAGAAUAAGCACCGCUAACUC